RNAcentral lists this ribosomal RNA (319 nucleotides) under uncultured bacterium. RNAcentral describes it as "bacterial SSU rRNA". It matches the Rfam family "Bacterial small subunit ribosomal RNA", at positions 201 to 507 of the family's 1533-position model. The record is from RNAcentral.
GAUCUUCGGACCUCGUGCUAUUAGAUGAGUCUGCGUCGGAUUAGCUUGUUGGUGAGGUAAUGGCUCACCAAGGCGACGAUCCGUAGCUGGUCUGAGAGGAUGAUCAGCCACACCGGGACUGAGACACCGGCCCGGACUCCUACGGGAGGCAGCAGUGGGGAAUCGUUGGACAAGUGGGGGCCAACCCUGAUCCAGCCAUGCCGCGUGUGUGAAGAAGGCCGUUCGGGUUGUAAAGCACUUUCAGUGGGGAAGAAAAGCUUGAGGUUAAUACCCUCGGGUCUUGACGGUACCUACAGAAGAAGCACCGGCUAACUCCGUG